GAAGCAGCCAUCAUUUAAAGAGUGCGUAAUAGCUCACUAGUCGAGUGACACUGCGCCGAAAAUGUACCGGGGCUAAACAUAUUACCGAAGCUGUGGAUUGUCCUUUGGACAAUGGUAGGAGAGCGUUCUAAGGGCGUCGAAGCAUGAUCGCAAGGACAUGUGGAGCGCUUAGAAGUGAGAAUGCCGGUGUGAGUAGCGAAAGACGGGUGAGAAUCCCGUCCACCGAUUGACUAAGGUUUCCAGAGGAAGGCUCGUCCGCUCUGGGUUAGUCGGGUCCUAAGCUGAGGCCGACAGGCGUAGGCGAUGGAUAACAGGUUGAUAUUCCUGUACCACCUAGUAUCGUUUUAAUCGAUGGGGGGACGCAGUAGGAUAGGCGAAGCGUGCUGUUGGAGUGCACGUCCAAGCAGUAAGGCUGAGUGUUAGGCAAAUCCGGCACUCAUAAGGCUGAGCUGUGAUGGGGAGAGGAAAUUGUUUCCUCGAGUCGUUGAUUUCACACUGCCGAGAAAAGCCUCUAGAUAGAUAACAGGUGCCCGUACCGCAAACCGACACAGGUAGUCAAGAUGAGAAUUCUAAGGUGAGCGAGCGAACUCUCGUUAAGGAACUCGGCAAAAUGACCCCGUAACUUCGGGAGAAGGGGUGCUCUUUAGGGUUCACGCCCAGAAGAGCCGCAGUGAAUAGGCCCAAGCGACUGUUUAUCAAAAACACAGGUCUCUGCUAAACCGUAAGGUGAUGUAUAGGGGCUGACGCCUGCCCGGUGCUGGAAGGUUAAGAGGAGUGGUUAGCUUCUGCGAAGCUACGAAUCGAAGCCCCAGUAAACGGCGGCCGUAACUAUAACGGUCCUAAGGUAGCGAAAUUCCUUGUCGGGUAAGUUCCGACCCGCACGAAAGGCGUAACGAUUUGGGCACUGUCUCAACGAGAGACUCGGUGAAAUCAUAGUACCUGUGAAGAUGCAGGUUACCCGCGACAGGACGGAAAGACCCCGUGGAGCUUUACUGUAGCCUGAUAUUGAAAUUCGGCACAGCUUGUACAGGAUAGGUAGGAGCCUUUGAAACGUGAGCGCUAGCUUACGUGGAGGCGUUGGUGGGAUACUACCCUAGCUGUGUUGGCUUUCUAACCCGCACCACUUAUCGUGGUGGGAGACAGUGUCAGGCGGGCAGUUUGACUGGGGCGGUCGCCUCCUAAAAGGUAACGGAGGCGCUCAAAGGUUCCCUCAGAAUGGUUGGAAAUCAUUCAUAGAGUGUAAAGGCAUAAGGGAGCUUGACUGCGAGACCUACAAGUCGAGCAGGGUCGAAAGACGGACUUAGUGAUCCGGUGGUUCCGCAUGGAAGGGCCAUCGCUCAACGGAUAAAAGCUACCCCGGGGAUAACAGGCUUAUCUCCCCCAAGAGUUCACAUCGACGGGGAGGUUUGGCACCUCGAUGUCGGCUCAUCGCAUCCUGGGGCUGUAGUCGGUCCCAAGGGUUGGGCUGUUCGCCCAUUAAAGCGGUACGCUAGCUGGGUUCAGAACGUCGUGAGACAGUUCGGUCCCUAUCCGUCGUGGGCGUAGGAAAUUUGAGAGGAGCUGUCCUUAGUACGAGAGGACCGGGAUGGACAUACCUCUGGUGUACCAGUUGUCGUGCCAACGGCAUAGCUGGGUAGCUAUGUAUGGACGGGAUAAGUGCUGAAAGCAUCUAAGCAUGAAGCCCCCCUCAAGAUGAGAUUUCCCAACUUCGGUUAUAAGAUCCCUCGAAGAUGACGAGGUUAAUAGGUUCGAGGUGGAAGCGUGGUGACACGUGGAGCUGACGAAUACUAAUCGAUCGAAGACUUAAUCAAUUUUUAAA
RNAcentral lists this ribosomal RNA (1819 nucleotides) under Staphylococcus epidermidis. RNAcentral describes it as "bacterial LSU rRNA". It matches the Rfam family "Bacterial large subunit ribosomal RNA", at positions 1109 to 2925 of the family's 2925-position model. Lineage: Bacteria; Bacillati; Bacillota; Bacilli; Caryophanales; Staphylococcaceae. The record is from RNAcentral.